UCUUUAAGCGGCACACACACCUCAUGCCAGAAUGCUGAAAUACGGAUUAUCUGGGCAUGUUUUCACUGAGAAAGGCAGAGCAAAUGAUGGAGGAGAGAGAGUAAAACAUAAAGGAGAAAUACAGAGGCAAAUAGCAUGUCCGGAAUUGGUGGGUUCUUGGUCUGACUUCAAGAAUGAAGCCACAGACCCUCGCAGUGAGUGUUACAGUUCUUAAAGGUGGCGUGUCCAGAGUUUGUUCCCUCUGAAGUUCAGAUGUGUUCCGAGUUUCUUCCUUCUGGUGGGUUCAUGGUCUCGCUGGCUCCGGAGUGAAGCUGCAGACCUUCGCGGUGAGUGUUACAACUCUUAAGGCAGCGCGUCUGGAGCUGUUCGUUCCUCCCGGUGGGUUCAUGGUCUCACUGGCUUCACGAGUGAAGCUGCAGACCUUCUCAGUGAGUGUUACAGCUCAUAAAGACAGUACGAACCCAAAGAGUGAGCAGUAGCAAGAAUUAUUGCAAAGAGCAAAAGAACAAAGCAACCCCACUGCAGAAUGUAAACUCAGCAGGUUGCCACUGCUGGCUCAGGCAGCCAGCUUUUAUUCUCUUAUCUGGCCCCACCCACAUCCUGCUGAUUGGUCCAUUUUACAGAGAGCUGAUUGGUCUGUUUUACAGAGAGCUGAUUGGUCCGUUUUGACAGGGUGCUGAUUGGUGCAUUUAAAAAAAUCCCUGAGCUAGAUACGAAGUGCCGAUUGGUGCAUUCACAAUCCCUUAGCUAGACAUAAA
Molecule: long non-coding RNA, 758 nt
Filed under: Homo sapiens (human)
Lineage: Eukaryota; Metazoa; Chordata; Mammalia; Primates; Hominidae
Description: HSALNT0314046
Source: RNAcentral